Molecule: long non-coding RNA, 448 nt
Filed under: Elaeis guineensis (African oil palm)
Lineage: Eukaryota; Viridiplantae; Streptophyta; Magnoliopsida; Arecales; Arecaceae
Description: long non-coding RNA (EGUI_LNC011961)
Source: RNAcentral
UGCUGGAGGAGUCUUGAGGACACUGUGGAAGGUCGAACAUUGGAGGAGUUCGGGAUUCAAUUCUGCUGUACUCCGACUUUUGUAGGAGUCUGAAAGGAGUCCGCUUAUUGUAGAAGCUCGGACGAAGAUCGGUUAUCGUGGAAGCUCAGAUGGAGACUUCUUAUUGUAGAAGUCUCACUGCUGGAGAAGCUCGAUCAUUGACGAAGUCUGGAAGAGGUUCAGAGUAGAGAUUCGGUUGGUGGAGCCCGUCUGUUGUAUGAGUUCGUCUGUGAUCCAUCCACUGUAGAAGUUCGAAUGGAGUCCAACUCUUGUAGGAGCUCGGAUGAAGUCCGGAAGGUGGUCGACCGCCGUAGAAACCCAGAUGGGGUCUGGCUACUGUAGAAGUUCUGCUGUUGGAGAAGCUCGGACAUUGACGAAGUUCGAAAGAAGUUCGGAGUAAAGUCAUUCG